ACCCCAGUGGCCUAAUGGAUAAGGCACUGGCCUUCUAAGCCAGGGCCAGGGAUUGUGGGUUCGAGUCCCAUCUGGGGUG
Molecule: non-coding RNA, 79 nt
Organism: Oncorhynchus keta (chum salmon)
Lineage: Eukaryota; Metazoa; Chordata; Actinopteri; Salmoniformes; Salmonidae
Source: the annotation of a RefSeq genome assembly